CCCGGGUUUUAACAUGAGAUCAAGCCGCCGAUCCCGCCGCGACCUGCGAGUGGGUGGGGGAUUGUUGCGCCGCGGCGUUGAGUCCGGGGAUGAUUAAUUCGCUCAGCUGAGGAGGGAGGCUGGAACCAGUCCACUGGAAGAAGACCCCGGCAUCUAUGUCAGAGAUUAGUAAUACUGCGAGACAAACACAACCAGUAUCCAGGAGAAAACAUCUUAAAAUGACAAGGAACUACUGUAUUUAAUGCCCGGAUCGUGGACCUGGCUGAGGAAGGAGGCUGGAACCAGUCCACUGGAAGAAGACCCCGGCAUCUAUGUCAGAGAUUAGUAAUACUGCGAGACAAACACAACCAGUAUCCAGGAGAAAACAUCUUAAAAUGACAAGGAACUACCUUAUUUAAUGCCCGGAUCAUGCAACUGGGGUCCAGAUAGACCAUGGAAGUGAAGGCCUGGAUGCUGCCGCAGCUCCUCAGGAGCCGCUGAUGAUUUUAGCCUCUGACAUCUCUCUUGUCUUCACUCUUGUACAGUGACGGAGUCAGAAUAAUUGAAAGUAAUAUUUCAUUUUUCAGCGCACUUCCACUCGCUAAUUACAAAAGGUCAGGCUUUCCUCUCAUCCGAGAAAAGGUCUGAAGCGCAAGUGGUAUUUGCGUCCAUAUUUAGUCCUGUUCCAGCCUCACUGGAGGCUGAGUCUUGAUCUAGAUGGUCUCAGUGAAGAUGUUCCGUGGCUUGUUUGACAGGAGAGUGUCGCCUGACUUCCCUUCAGGACAAAGCUUCACCGCUUCAUCUCGGCCCGAAACGUACGUCCCGA
Synchiropus splendidus (mandarinfish) is the source of this 805-nucleotide long non-coding RNA. RefSeq lists it as uncharacterized. Lineage: Eukaryota; Metazoa; Chordata; Actinopteri; Syngnathiformes; Callionymidae. The transcript is spliced from 4 exons. The record is from RefSeq and is a predicted model, not a curated record.